Molecule: ribosomal RNA, 228 nt
Filed under: Vibrio splendidus
Lineage: Bacteria; Pseudomonadati; Pseudomonadota; Gammaproteobacteria; Vibrionales; Vibrionaceae
Description: partial 16S ribosomal RNA
Rfam family: Bacterial small subunit ribosomal RNA
Source: RNAcentral
AAAUUGAAGAGUUUGAUCAUGGCUCAGAUUGAACGCUGGCGGCAGGCCUAACACAUGCAAGUCGAGCGGAAACGACAUUAUUGAAUCUUCGGAGGAUUUAAUGGGCGUCGAGCGGCGGACGGGUGAGUAAUGCCUAGGAAAUUGCCUUGAUGUGGGGGAUAACCAUUGGAAACGAUGGCUAAUACCGCAUAAUGCCUACGGGCCAAAGAGGGGGAUCUUCGGACCUCU